Molecule: long non-coding RNA, 210 nt
Filed under: Elaeis guineensis (African oil palm)
Lineage: Eukaryota; Viridiplantae; Streptophyta; Magnoliopsida; Arecales; Arecaceae
Description: long non-coding RNA (EGUI_LNC074711)
Source: RNAcentral
CCUCUUAUUUUUCACAUGAGAAAUAUUUUAUGUGAUUUUUUCUCAUACCCAGAAGCCUUUUCUACAUCCUCAUCUAAGUCUUUUUGAAUUAGAAAUUGGUUGGUUUAAAUUUGAGUUCAAAUUAUUUUGAAUUUAAAUGAAAACCUAGAGUCCAAAUUGAGUUGGACUCUCCUCUUCAUGCCACCACAUUUCUCCAUGCAUAAAGUAUUU